AUUGAACGCUGGCGGCAGGCCUAACACAUGCAAGUCGAACGAGUGGCGGACGGGUGAGUAAUGUCUGGAAAACUGCCCGAUGGAGGGGGAUAACUACUGGAAACGGUAGCUAAUACCGCAUACCAUUAGAGGUGCCCCGAUGGGAUUAGCUUGUUGGUUGGGUAACGGCGCACCAAGGCGACGAUCCCUAGCUGGUUGGAGAGGAUGACUAGCCACACUGGCACUGAGAAACGGUCCAGACUCCUACGGUCGGCAGCAGUGGGGAAUUUUGGCAAAUUGGGGAAAGCCCGAUACAGCCAUGCCGCGUGUAUGAAGAAGGCCUUCGGGUUGUAAAGUACUUUCAGCAGGUAGGCGUUACCCGCAGAAGAAGCACCGGCUAACUCCGUGCCAGCAGCCGCGGUAAUUC
RNAcentral lists this ribosomal RNA (406 nucleotides) under uncultured bacterium. RNAcentral's name for it is "partial 16S ribosomal RNA". It matches the Rfam family "Bacterial small subunit ribosomal RNA", at positions 30 to 526 of the family's 1533-position model. The record is from RNAcentral.